UUAAGUUAAUAAGGGCGCACGGUGGAUGCCUUGGCACUAGAAGCCGAUGAAGGACGUGACUAACGACGAAAUGCUUUGGGGAGCUGUAAGUGAGCAAUGAUCCAGAGAUGUCCGAAUGGGGGAACCCGGCAGGUAAUGCCUGUCACUCAUUACUGUUAAGGUAAUGUAGAGGAAGACGCAGUGAACUGAAACAUCUAAGUAGCUGCAGGAAGAGAAAGCAAAAGCGAUUGCCUUAGUAGCGGCGAGCGAAACGGCAAGAGGGCAAACCGAAGAGUUUACUCUUCGGGGUUGUAGGACUGCAACGUGGACUUAAAGAUUAUAGAAGAACUACCUGGGAAGGUAGGCCAAAGAGAGUAAUAGCCUCGUAUUCGAAAUAGUCUUUAUACCUAGCAGUAUCCUGAGUACGGCGAGACACGAGAAAUCUCGUCGGAAUCUGGGAGGACCAUCUCCCAACCCUAAAUACUCUCUAGUGACCGAUAGUGAACCAGUACCGUGAGGGAAAGGUGAAAAGCACCCCGGGAGGGGAGUGAAAUAGAACCUGAAACCGUGUGCCUACAACAAGUUCGAGCCCGUUAAUGGGUGAGAGCGUGCCUUUUGUAGAAUGAACCGGCGAGUUACGAUAUGAUGCGAGGUUAAGUUGAAGAGACGGAGCCGUAGGGAAACCGAGUCUUAAUAGGGCGCAUUAGUAUCAUGUCGUAGACCCGAAACCAUGUGACCUACCCAUGAGCAGGUUGAAGGUGAGGUAAAACUCACUGGAGGACCGAACCAGGGCACGUUGAAAAGUGCUUGGAUGACUUGUGGGUAGCGGAGAAAUUCCAAACGAACUUGGAGAUAGCUGGUUCUCUCCGAAAUAGCUUUAGGGCUAGCGUCGAUGUUAAGUCUCUUGGAGGUAGAGCACUGUUUGGGUGAGGGGUCCAUCCCGGAUUACCAAUCUCAGAUAAACUCCGAAUGCCAACGAGAUAUAAUCGGCAGUCAGACUGCGAGUGCUAAGAUCCGUAGUCGAAAGGGAAACAGCCCAGACCACCAGCUAAGGUCCCAAAAUAUAUGUUAAGUGGAAAAGGAUGUGGGGUUGCACAGACAACUAGGAUGUUAGCUUAGAAGCAGCUAUUCAUUCAAAGAGUGCGUAAUAGCUCACUAGUCGAGUGACCCUGCGCCGAAAAUGUACCGGGGCUAAAACAUAUUACCGAAGCUGUGGAUACCUUUAUAGGUAUGGUAGGAGAGCGUUCUAUGUGCGAAGAAGGUGUACCGUGAGGAGUGCUGGAGCGCAUAGAAGUGAGAAUGCCGGUAUGAGUAGCGAAAGACAGGUGAGAAUCCUGUCCACCGUAAGACUAAGGUUUCCAGGGGAAGGCUCGUCCGCCCUGGGUUAGUCGGGACCUAAGGAGAGACCGAAAGGUGUAUCCGAUGGACAACAGGUUGAUAUUCCUGUACUAGAGUAUAUAGUGAUGGAGGGACGCAGUAGGCUAACUAAACCAGACGAUUGGAAGUGUCUGGCCAAGCAGUGAGGUGUGAUAUGAGUCAAAUGCUUAUAUCUAUAACAUUGAGCUGUGAUGGGGAGCGAAGUUUAGUAGCGAAGUUAGUGAUGUCACACUGCCGAGAAAAACUUCUAGCGUUAAUUAUACUCUACCCGUACCGCAAACCGACACAGGUAGUCGAGGCGAGUAGCCUCAGGUGAGCGAGAGAACUCUCGUUAAGGAACUCGGCAAAAUGGCCCCGUAACUUCGGGAGAAGGGGCGCUGACUUAUGGUCAGCCGCAGUGAAUAGGCCCAAGCAACUGUUUAUCAAAAACACAGCUCUCUGCUAAAUCGUAAGAUGAUGUAUAGGGGGUGACGCCUGCCCGGUGCUGGAAGGUUAAGAGGAGUGCUUAGCAAUAGCGAAGGUAUGAAUUGAAGCCCCAGUAAACGGCGGCCGUAACUAUAACGGUCCUAAGGUAGCGAAAUUCCUUGUCGGGUAAGUUCC
Molecule: ribosomal RNA, 1956 nt
Filed under: human gut metagenome
Description: bacterial LSU rRNA
Rfam family: Bacterial large subunit ribosomal RNA
Source: RNAcentral